Molecule: long non-coding RNA, 732 nt
Organism: Mesitornis unicolor (brown roatelo)
Lineage: Eukaryota; Metazoa; Chordata; Aves; Mesitornithiformes; Mesitornithidae
Exons: 2
Source: RefSeq, a predicted model, not a curated record
AAAAGAGAUUAAACAGUUGCUGUCGGAGUUGGAUGAAGAAAAGAAGAUCCGUCUACGAUUGCAGAUGGAAGUUAAUGACAUAAAGAAAGCUCUUCAAUCAAAGUGAAUACUUGAUAGGUGGAAUGUUGCAUUAUUCUUCAGUAAUGAGACUGAAAUUUAUGCCCCAGCCAAAAUAACUUUGUGCCAAAUGAUUUAAGAAUUGCCUCAACAUCCCUUUAUUUGAAGGAUUAGCACAACAGUUUUUGAUAGCACAACAAAAAUUCCAACAGCGAGGACAAAAUUUCCACCCAAAGCAGUGCUGUGCAGCACUAGUUGUGACUGAAAUUGAUCUUCUUGUGCUAAAGGCUCUCUACUUCAAGAUCCUAGGUGAAAUGAAAACUCAGGCAGUUUAGUCCAUAGUGGUACUAUUUUGAUGAUAUUUUUCCAUAAAUAAAAUGUAUUUCAGAUUAUCUGUUUACAAGCUUUAUGAUUUUGACUUUUGGUUUUUAAUUGUCUUUUGUCACAGAUUUUAAAAUGUUUAUACUGCAUAUAGCCAGGAAUGAAUGUUAACAUUGGGGCUGGAGGGAUUAUUUUUGCUUCAAGAAAGAACAGCCUACUUUUUGUUACGGUUUUAAGUUCUGUUAAAUAUGCAAUUUUAUGUCCCCCAAUCCCCUACAAUUUAAACUUGCGUUGUGUACAGUAAUGUAUUUACAAGAAAGAAACAAACCAACAGAAAUCCGGUCUUUGCAAUGA